GUGAGGAAUAUUGGACAAUGGGCGCAAGCCUGAUCCAGCCAUGCCGCGUGCAGGAAGACGCAUCUAUGGUGUGUAAACUGCUUUUGUACGGGAAGAAACACUCCCUCGUGAGGGAGCUUGACGGUACCGUAAGAAUAAGGAUCGGCUAACUCCGUGCCAGCAGCCGCGGUAAUACGGAGGAUCCAAGCGUUAUCCGGAAUCAUUGGGUUUAAAGGGUCCGUAGGCGGUUUAAUAAGUCAGUGGUGAAAGCCCAUCGCUCAACGAUGGAACGGCCAUUGAUACUGUUAGACUUGAAUUACAAGGAAGGAACUAGAAUAUGUAGUGUAGCGGUGAAAUGCUUAGAUAUUACAUGGAAUACCAAUUGCGAAGGCAGGUUACUACUUGUGGAUUGACGCUGAUGGACGAAAGCGUGGGGAGCGAACAGGAUUAGAUACCCCUGUAGUCC
This 445-nucleotide ribosomal RNA is filed under the name uncultured bacterium. Its description in RNAcentral is "partial 16S ribosomal RNA". It matches the Rfam family "Bacterial small subunit ribosomal RNA", at positions 354 to 796 of the family's 1533-position model. The record is from RNAcentral.